AUCCAGCUAACGAGUUCGAAAUAGAACGAAACGCGCAUCCUGGAU
RNAcentral lists this non-coding RNA (45 nucleotides) under Schistosoma margrebowiei. Lineage: Eukaryota; Metazoa; Platyhelminthes; Trematoda; Strigeidida; Schistosomatidae. The record is from RNAcentral.